CCUACGGGGGGCAGCAGUGAGGAAUAUUGGUCAAUGGACGAGAGUCUGAACCAGCCAAGUAGCGUGAAGGAUGACUGCCCUAUGGGUUGUAAACUUCUUUUAUAUGGGAAUAAAAUGUUCCACGUGUGGGAUUUUGUAUGUACCAUAUGAAUAAGGAUCGGCUAACUCCGUGCCAGCAGCCGCGGUAAUACGGAGGAUCCGAGCGUUAUCAGGAUUUAUUGGGUUUAAAGGGAGCGUAGGUGGAUUGUUAAGUCAGUUGUGAAAGUUUGCGGCGCAACCGUAAAAUUGAAGUUGAAACUGGAGGUCUGGAGGACAGUAGAGGUGUGAGGAAUUCGUGGUGUAGCGGUGAAAUGAUUGGAUAUCACGAAGAACGCCGAUUGCGAGGGAAGCUCACUGGCCGGAAACGGACUCUGAGGCUCGAAAGUGUGGGUAUCAAACAGGAUGAGAUACCCGGGUAGUC
RNAcentral lists this ribosomal RNA (460 nucleotides) under uncultured bacterium. Its description in RNAcentral is "partial 16S ribosomal RNA". It matches the Rfam family "Bacterial small subunit ribosomal RNA", at positions 338 to 795 of the family's 1533-position model. The record is from RNAcentral.